GGUGGUGGCUUGAGGCAGUGGUACUACCUCUUCCCAUUCCGAACAGAGUCGUAAAACGCUGUACUGCCGAUGAUACUCGCAAGGGGACAGUAGGCAGCUGCCACCU
RNAcentral lists this ribosomal RNA (106 nucleotides) under Candidatus Ryanbacteria bacterium RIFCSPHIGHO2_12_FULL_47_12b. The record is from RNAcentral. RNAcentral also lists the same sequence under 2 other names. Lineage: Bacteria; Candidatus Ryaniibacteriota.